GACGAACGCUGGCGGCGUGCUUAACACAUGCAAGUCGAACGAUGAAGCCCAGCUUGCUGGGUGGAUCAGUGGCGAACGGGUGAGUAACACGUGGGCAACCUGCCCCAAACUCUGGGAUAACUCCUCGAAAGAGGUGCUAAUACCGGAUACGAACUAGACAGACAUCUGUACUAGUUGGAAAGUUUUUCGGUUCGGGAUGGGCCCGCGGCCUAUCAGCUUGUUGGUGAGGUAACGGCUCACCAAGGCUACGACGGGUAACCGGCCUGAGAGGGCGACCGGUCACACUGGGACUGAGACACGGCCCAGACUCCUACGGGAGGCAGCAGUGGGGAAUAUUGCGCAAUGGGCGAAAGCCUGACGCAGCGACGCCGCGUGAGGGAUGAAGGUCUUCGGAUCGUAAACCUCUUUCAGUAGGGACGAAGCGAAAGUGACGGUACCUAAAGAAGAAGCACCGGCUAACUACGUGCCAGCCGCCGCGGUAA
This 482-nucleotide ribosomal RNA is filed under the name uncultured bacterium. RNAcentral's name for it is "partial 16S ribosomal RNA". It matches the Rfam family "Bacterial small subunit ribosomal RNA", at positions 28 to 523 of the family's 1533-position model. The record is from RNAcentral.